AGCAGUCGCCGCGGUAAUACGAAGGGUGCAAGCGUUACUCGGAAUUACUGGGCGUAAAGCGUGCGUAGGUGGUUGUUUAAGUCUGCUGUGAAAGCCCUGGGCUCAACCUGGGAAUUGCAGUGGAUACUGGGCAACUAGAGUAAGGUAGAGGAUAGUGGAAUUUCCGGUGUAGCAGUGAAAUGCGUAGAGAUCGGAAGGAACAUCUGUGGCGAAGGCGACUAUCUGGGCCAUUACUGACACUGAGGCACGAAAGCGUGGGGAGCAAACAGGAUUAGAUACCCGUGUAGUCCCUGUCUCUUAUAC
This 303-nucleotide ribosomal RNA is filed under the name uncultured bacterium. RNAcentral describes it as "partial 16S ribosomal RNA". It matches the Rfam family "Bacterial small subunit ribosomal RNA", at positions 507 to 807 of the family's 1533-position model. The record is from RNAcentral.